RNAcentral lists this ribosomal RNA (292 nucleotides) under uncultured bacterium. RNAcentral describes it as "partial 16S ribosomal RNA". It matches the Rfam family "Bacterial small subunit ribosomal RNA", at positions 505 to 796 of the family's 1533-position model. The record is from RNAcentral.
GUGCCAGCAGCCGCGGUAAUACGUAGGGACCAAGCGUUGUUCGGAUUUACUGGGCGUAAAGGGCGCGUAGGCGGCCUAGCAAGUCACUUGUGAAAUCUCCGGGCUUAACUCGGAACUGCCAAGUGAAACUGCUGGGCUAGAGUGCAGAAGGGGCAAUCGGAAUUCUUGGUGUAGCGGUGAAAUGCGUAGAUAUCAAGAGGAACACCUGAGGUGAAGACGGGUUGCUGGGCUGACACUGACGCUGAGGCGCGAAAGCCAGGGGAGCAAACGGGAUUAGAUACCCUUGUAGUCC